CCAAACUUGGUCAUUUAGAGGAAGUAAAAGUCGUAACAAGGUUUCCGUAGGUGAACCUGCGGAAGGAUCAUUAGUGAAUUGAGCUGGCUUCGGCCGCUCUGAUCUAUACACACCUGUGAACUGUUGGCCUUCGGGUCUUUAAAUACAACUGUGACGAACGUAAAUUAUUAUAACAAAUAAAACUUUUAACAACGGAUCUCUUGGCUCUCGCAUCGAUGAAGAACGCAGC
Molecule: unclassified non-coding RNA, 229 nt
Filed under: uncultured fungus
Lineage: Eukaryota; Fungi
Description: partial contains small subunit ribosomal RNA, internal transcribed spacer 1, and 5.8S ribosomal RNA
Rfam family: Eukaryotic small subunit ribosomal RNA (bases 1-73)
Source: RNAcentral